AACGAACGCUGGCGGCAUGCUUUAUACAUGCAAGUCGAACGCGAAAGUGUCUUCGGACAUUAGUAGAGUGGCAAACGGGUGAGUAACGCGUGGGAAUAUACCUUAUAGUACGGAAUAGCCUCGGGAAACUGGGAUUAAUACCGUAUACGCCCUGAGGGGGAAAGAUUUAUCGCUAUAAGAUUAGCCCGCGUCAGAUUAGCUAGUUGGUGGGGUAAUGGCCUACCAAGGCAACGAUCUGUAGCUGGUCUGAGAGGAUGAUCAGCCACAUUGGGACUGAGAUACGGCCCAAACUCCUACGGGAGGCAGCAGUAGGGAAUAUUGGACAAUGGACGAAAGUCUGAUCCAGCAAUGCCGCGUGAGUGAAGAAGGCCUUCGGGUUGUAAAGCACCUUUGUCCGGAAAGAAAUGGCUCUGGUUAAUACCUGGGGUCGAUGACGGUACCGGAAGAAUAAGGACCGGCUAACUACGUGCCAGCAGCCGCCGCGG
Molecule: ribosomal RNA, 485 nt
Filed under: uncultured bacterium
Lineage: Bacteria
Description: partial 16S ribosomal RNA
Rfam family: Bacterial small subunit ribosomal RNA
Source: RNAcentral